RNAcentral lists this long non-coding RNA (674 nucleotides) under Olea europaea (common olive). RNAcentral describes it as "long non-coding RNA (OEUR_LNC010478)". The record is from RNAcentral. Lineage: Eukaryota; Viridiplantae; Streptophyta; Magnoliopsida; Lamiales; Oleaceae.
UUUUCGGAAAUUGCACCUUGAUCCUAGUUAAAAUUAAAAUCGGGUCCUCCAGUUUCUCAAAUUACAAAUAAGCCCUUUUAUUAAAUUGCAAGUUUAAUCCCAAUCUCUUAAUUCUAGACAGGGGCCUCUAAUCUCACAAAUUGCAAGAGAGGCCCCCAUCCCCAAAACUACCACACACAACCAAAACAGGCCCUAAAUUAACCACCCAAUUUCUUCUUCCACCGGCGCCACUUUUGGGUCUUUGCUGUCGGCCAAACUAAAACCUUAAAUCCACCAUUUAUUUCUCCUCCAACAACAUCAAUUCUCAAUUUUUACAACAAUAAGGAAAAAAAAAAUGCUCAAACAUAUAACAAUGGUUGCCGGCUUCUUUUCUUCUAUACCAAGUUCAAUAGAUUUCUUCCUUCAACAUCAAUUCUCAUCCCAAUUAAUUUAUCAAAGGUAAAACAAAAAUGAAAAGAAAAACUGACAACUUUAAAAUAAUAAAAAAGAGAAAAGAGGAAAAAACCCAACAGCAAACUUUGAUGGUAAAAAAACCCAAAUCAAUUGGCAAGUGUAAAUGCCACUACCGUCGGCAGAGUAGCCCAGAAUUGCUUAUCAAUUAAUUCCCUGUUGUUUCGCCAUGUGAGAAUUACAGAGGAGAGAGAACUUUAUUCUUGGUUUUGGUUUAGUUUGUU